CCUAUUAUUAUGAGUGUUAAUGUUUUUACCUGAGUAGUAUUAGUUGUGUUCUUGAAACUUAAAGAAUUUGGCGGUAUCCUACUCCAUUCAGAGGAAUCUGUCUCGUUAUCGAUAGUCCGCGUUGGACCUUACUUAGGAUUAAAUUUUGGUUUGUAUACCGCCGUUUAUUGAUUAUCUUUUUAGAGUUAUCUGAAUUUUCUGGUUUCUUUAAUUUGAUUUAUUGCAGGUCAAGGUGCAGCUUUUUUUAAGUGUAAUGAUGGAUUACAGUGUUAUGUGUUGUUUGGAUUGUUUUUUUAAAUAUUGGCAUGAAAUUGGAUUUGGUUGUAAUGUUUUGUAGAUUGUUUUCAUGAUAAUUGGUUCUAGGAUAUGUACACAUCGCCCGUCGCUCUCAUUUAAUUUGUUGAUGA
This 407-nucleotide ribosomal RNA is filed under the name Odontotermes latericius. RNAcentral's name for it is "partial small subunit ribosomal RNA". Lineage: Eukaryota; Metazoa; Arthropoda; Insecta; Blattodea; Termitidae. The record is from RNAcentral.